This 388-nucleotide unclassified non-coding RNA is filed under the name fungal sp. Its description in RNAcentral is "partial internal transcribed spacer region". The stretch from base 1 to 46 matches the Rfam family "Eukaryotic small subunit ribosomal RNA", at positions 1786 to 1831 of the family's 1831-position model. Lineage: Eukaryota; Fungi. The record is from RNAcentral.
AAGUCGUAACAAGGUCUCCGUAGGUGAACCUGCGGAGGGAUCAUCUAUAAAAAAAAUAUGAUGAUGAUGAUGAUGAUGAUGAUGUUUAUUCAUCAUCAUCAUCAUUAUUCAUAUAUUAUCCAUUAUAGGAUGUUUUGGUGUUGUUAUUAUAUAAUAUUCUUAUAAUGUUGCAGGAUGGAAUUGUGUGUAUGUGUAUGUGUGUGUGUGUCGGUGUUUGUGUGUGUGUUGUAUGUGUGUUUGUGUUUUAAGGAGUAUUGUUACUCUUUUUAACCUUCCCCACAUACACUCUACUCUUAUUACUACCCAUCACUACACCAAUAAAAAACCAACCAGGAUCAUAAAUUCCAAACAAAGUUUAUAACUUUUGGCAACGGAUCUCUUGGUUCUC